RNAcentral lists this ribosomal RNA (253 nucleotides) under uncultured bacterium. RNAcentral's name for it is "partial 16S ribosomal RNA". It matches the Rfam family "Bacterial small subunit ribosomal RNA", at positions 524 to 776 of the family's 1533-position model. The record is from RNAcentral.
UACGUAGGGUGCAAGCGUUGUCCGGAAUUAUUGGGCGUAAAGGGCUCGUAGGCGGUUUGUCGCGUCGGGAGUGAAAACCCAGGGCUUAACCCUGGGCUGGCUUCCGAUACGGGCAGACUAGAGGUAUGCAGGGGAGAACGGAAUUCCGGGUGUAGCGGUGAAAUGCGUAGAUAUCCGGAGGAACACCGGUGGCGAAGGCGGCUUCCUGGACCGACACUGACGCUGAGGCGCGAAAGCUAGGGGAGCAAACGGG